GAUGAACGCUGGCGGCGUGCCUAAUACACGCAAGUCGAGCGAACGGACGAGAAGCUUGCUUCUCUGAUGUUAGCGGCGGACGGGUGAGUAACACGUGGAUAACCUACCUAUAAGACUGGGAUAACUUCGGGAAACCGGAGCUAAUACCGGAUAAUAUUUUGAACCGCAUGGUUCAAAAGUGAAAGACGGUCUUGCUGUCACUUAUAGAUGGAUCCGCGCUGCAUUAGCUAGUUGGUAAGGUAACGGCUUACCAAGGCAACGAUGCAUAGCCGACCUGAGAGGGUGAUCGGCCACACUGGAACUGAGACACGGACCAGACGCCUACGGGAGGCAGCAGUAGGGAAUCUUCCGCAAUGGGCGAAAGCCUGACGGAGCAACGCCGCGUGAGUGAUGAAGGUCUUCGGAUCGUAAAACUCUGUUAUUAGGGAAGAACAUAUGUGUAAGUAACUGUGCACAUCUUGACGGUACCUAAUCAGAAAGCAACGGCUAACUACGUG
This 497-nucleotide ribosomal RNA is filed under the name uncultured bacterium. RNAcentral describes it as "partial 16S ribosomal RNA". It matches the Rfam family "Bacterial small subunit ribosomal RNA", at positions 28 to 507 of the family's 1533-position model. The record is from RNAcentral.